GACGGAGGGUGCUAGCGUUGUUCGGAAUCACUGGGCGUAAAGGGUGCGUAGGCGGCAUCACAAGUCAUGGGUGAAAGCCCGGGGCUCAACCCCGGAAUUGCCUGUGAAACUGCGGCGCUCGAGGCCGAGAGAGGGGGGUGGAAUACCCAGUGUAGAGGUGAAAUUCGUAGAUAUUGGGUGGAACACCAGUGGCGAAAGCGGCCCCCUGGCUCGGUCCUGGCGCUGAGGCACGAAAGCGUGGGGAGCAAACAGG
Molecule: ribosomal RNA, 253 nt
Filed under: uncultured bacterium
Lineage: Bacteria
Description: partial 16S ribosomal RNA
Rfam family: Bacterial small subunit ribosomal RNA
Source: RNAcentral